RNAcentral lists this ribosomal RNA (425 nucleotides) under uncultured bacterium. RNAcentral describes it as "partial 16S ribosomal RNA". It matches the Rfam family "Bacterial small subunit ribosomal RNA", at positions 360 to 776 of the family's 1533-position model. The record is from RNAcentral.
AAUAUUGGUCAAUGGGCGCAAGCCUGAUCCAGUCAUGCCGCUGGAGUUAAGAAUGCCUUCGACUUGUAAAUCUCUUUCUUACGGAAAAAAAUCACGUAGGCGACUACCCUGCGCGGAUGACAGUACCGUCAUAAGAAGAACUCGCAAACUACGUGCUAGCAUCCGCGGUAAUACGUAGGGUGCGAUCGUUAAACGGAAUUACUGGGCGUAAAGCGUGCGCAGGCGGUUGAUUAAGACAGGCGUGAAAUCCCCGGGCUUAACCUGGGAACUGCGCUUGUGACUGGUCAGCUAGAGUACGGCAGAGGGGGGUGGAAUUCCACGUGUAGCAGUGAAAUGCGUAGAGAUGUGGAGGAACACCGGUGGCGAAGGCAGCCCCCCUGGGCCGAUACUGACGCUCAUGCACGAAAGCGUGGGUAGCAAACAGG